CAAUAGCGUAUAUUAAAGUUGUUGCAGUUAGAACGCUCGUAGUCGGAUUUCGGGGCGGGCCGACCGGUCUGCCGAUGGGUAUGCACUGGUCGGCGCGUCCUUCCUUCCGGAGACCGUCCCUACUCUUAACUGAGCGGGGGCGGGAGACGGGACUUUUACUUUGAAAAAAUCAGAGUGUUUCAAGCAGGCAGCUCGCUCUUGCAUGGAUAGCAUGGGAUAAUGAAAUAGGACUUUGGUGCUAUUUUGUUGGUUUCGAACACCGAAGUAAUGAUGAGAAGGGACAGUCAGGGGCACUCGUAUUCCGCCGAGAGAGGUGAAAUUCUCAGACCAGCGGAAGACGAACCACUGCGAAAGCAUUUGCCAGGGAUGUUUUCACUG
Molecule: ribosomal RNA, 378 nt
Filed under: uncultured eukaryote
Lineage: Eukaryota
Description: partial 18S ribosomal RNA
Rfam family: Eukaryotic small subunit ribosomal RNA
Source: RNAcentral